Molecule: long non-coding RNA, 234 nt
Filed under: Carica papaya (papaya)
Lineage: Eukaryota; Viridiplantae; Streptophyta; Magnoliopsida; Brassicales; Caricaceae
Description: long non-coding RNA (CPAP_LNC003744)
Source: RNAcentral
UGGUACAGAUCUUGUAAAAUCGGGCCGAGAACGCACCACAGAUCGCAAAGUCGCACCCAGGCAUCGCGUAGGUCUUUCUUCCAUCGCACGCCGUUGCACUAUUCCCUUUAUGGCUUUCUGUUUCCAGCCCAAACGGACCAGUCUCUCAGAUCCAGCAUCUAGUUCAGUGUACCGAACAACCCUUUCUGCCACACGCUGAUCUUCUUCUCUAAUUUACUUUCUUUUUUUACACAC